CUGACCUACGGGGGGCUGCAGUAGGGAAUCUUCCACAAUGGGCGCAAGCCUGAUGGAGCAACACCGCGUGAGUGAAGAAGGGUUUCGGCUCGUAAAGCUCUGUUGUUGGAGAAGAACGUGCGUGAGAGUAACUGUUCACGCAGUGACGGUAUCCAACCAGAAAGUCACGGCUAACUACGUGCCAGCAGCCGCGGUAAUACGUAGGUGGCAAGCGUUGUCCGGAAUUACUGGGUGUAAAGGGAGCGCAGGCGGGAAUGCAAGUUGGGAGUGAAAUCUACGGGCUCAACCCGUAAACUGCUCUCAAAACUGUAUUUCUUGAGUAGUGCAGAGGUAGGCGGAAUUCCCGGUGUAGCGGUGGAAUGCGUAGAUAUCGGGAGGAACACCAGUGGCGAAGGCGGCCUACUGGGCACCAACUGACGCUGAGGCUCGAAAGUGUGGGUAUCAAACAGGAUUAGAUACCCGAGUAGUCGUUCGAC
This 476-nucleotide ribosomal RNA is filed under the name Aurantiacibacter sediminis. Its description in RNAcentral is "bacterial SSU rRNA". It matches the Rfam family "Bacterial small subunit ribosomal RNA", at positions 332 to 803 of the family's 1533-position model. The record is from RNAcentral. Lineage: Bacteria; Pseudomonadati; Pseudomonadota; Alphaproteobacteria; Sphingomonadales; Erythrobacteraceae.